AUUGAACGCUGCGGCAGGCCUCACACAUGCAAGUCGCACGGUAACAGGAAGAAGCUUGCUUCUUUGCUGACGAGUGGCGGACGGGUGAGUAAUGUCUGGGAAACUGCCUGAUGGAGGGGGAUAACUACUGGAAACGGUAGCUAAUACCGCAUAACGUCGCAAGACCAAAGAGGGGGACCUUCGGGCCUCUUGCCAUCGGAUGUGCCCAGAUGGGAUUAGCUAGUAGGUGGGGUAACGGCUCACCUAGGCGACGAUCCCUAGCUGGUCUGAGAGGAUGACCAGCCACACUGGAACUGAGACACGGUCCAGACUCCUACGGGAGGCAGCAGUGGGGAAUAUUGCACAAUGGGCGCAAGCCUGAUGCAGCCAUGCCGCGUGUAUGAAGAAGGCCUUCGGGUUGUAAAGUACUUUCAGCGGGGAGGAAGGGAGUAAAGUUAAUACCCUUGCUCAUUGACGUUACCCGCAGAAGAAGCACCGGCUAACUCCGUG
RNAcentral lists this ribosomal RNA (489 nucleotides) under uncultured bacterium. Its description in RNAcentral is "partial 16S ribosomal RNA". It matches the Rfam family "Bacterial small subunit ribosomal RNA", at positions 30 to 507 of the family's 1533-position model. The record is from RNAcentral.